AAUAGAUACCCGGGUAGUCCACGCCGUAAACGAUGAGUGCUAAGUGUUAGAGGGUUUCCGCCCUUUAGUGCUGCAGCUAACGCAUUAAGCACUCCGCCUGGGGAGUACGGUCGCAAGACUGAAACUCAAAGGAAUUGACGGGGGCCCGCACAAGCGGUGGAGCAUGUGGUUUAAUUCGAAGCAACGCGAAGAACCUUACCAGGUCUUGACAUCCCACUGACCGGUAUAGAGAUAUACCUUUCCCUUCGGGGACAGUGGUGACAGGUGGUGCAUGGUUGUCGUCAGCUCGUGUCGUGAGAUGUUGGGUUAAGUCCCGCAACGAGCGCAACCCUUGAUCUUAGUUGCCCAGCAUUUAGUUGGGCACUCUAAGGUGACUGCCGGUGACAAACCGGAGGAAGGUGGGGAUGACGUCAAAUCAUCAUGCCCCUUAUGACCUGGGCUACACACGUGCUACAAUGGAUGGUACAAAGGGCUGCAAGACUGCGAAGUCAAGCCAAUCCCAUAAAACCAUUCUCAGUUCGGAUUGCAGG
Molecule: ribosomal RNA, 530 nt
Filed under: uncultured bacterium
Lineage: Bacteria
Description: bacterial SSU rRNA
Rfam family: Bacterial small subunit ribosomal RNA
Source: RNAcentral